RNAcentral lists this ribosomal RNA (447 nucleotides) under Cutibacterium acnes. RNAcentral describes it as "bacterial SSU rRNA". It matches the Rfam family "Bacterial small subunit ribosomal RNA", at positions 28 to 487 of the family's 1533-position model. Lineage: Bacteria; Bacillati; Actinomycetota; Actinomycetes; Propionibacteriales; Propionibacteriaceae. The record is from RNAcentral.
GACGAACGCUGGCGGCGUGCUUAACACAUGCAAGUCGAACGGAAAGGCCCUGCUUUUGUGGGGUGCUCGAGUGGCGAACGGGUGAGUAACACGUGAGUAACCUGCCCUUGACUUUGGGAUAACUUCAGGAAACUGGGGCUAAUACCGGAUAGGAGCUCCUGCUGCAUGGUGGGGGUUGGAAAGUUUCGGCGGUUGGGGAUGGACUCGCGGCUUAUCAGCUUGUUGGUGGGGUAGUGGCUUACCAAGGCUUUGACGGGUAGCCGGCCUGAGAGGGUGACCGGCCACAUUGGGACUGAGAUACGGCCCAGACUCCUACGGGAGGCAGCAGUGGGGAAUAUUGCACAAUGGGCGGAAGCCUGAUGCAGCAACGCCGCGUGCGGGAUGACGGCCUUCGGGUUGUAAACCGCUUUCGCCUGUGACGAAGCGUGAGUGACGGUAAUGGUAAAG